This is a long non-coding RNA of Carassius gibelio (silver crucian carp), 465 nucleotides long. RefSeq lists it as uncharacterized. The record is from RefSeq and is a predicted model, not a curated record. The transcript is spliced from 3 exons. NCBI's taxonomy places the organism in Eukaryota, Metazoa, Chordata, Actinopteri, Cypriniformes, Cyprinidae.
UCUGUGGACUGUGGUGAAACCAGAAACUGCACCCAGGCGAUUUUGAGGAGUUUGACAGCUUUUUUGACUACAGUAUCAGUCAGCGUUCAUCGAUAAUCCUGGAAUUAUUUGUUUCGUGCUACAGCAUAAAAGAUCUGCACCUGCGCGUUUGGAAGUGUAUCUACGCAAUAAGUUCAGCUUUCAGAUGCGUUCUAGAGAGAGAUACAGGCUCCACUUUCUGCUGCGUUCUGCCGAGAGCUAGCUGCUCCUCUGACUGAGAGCUUUUCAAAGCAAAACAUACAUAAAACAAAAUGUCUAUGGAGUUAGAUGUGUUUGUGGGGAACACUACUGUCCUGGAUCAAGACGUGUACCAACUGUGGUUGGACGGACACACAGUCUCAGAUGUAGUGAAGAUACAGAUGGAAGCAGGUGCCUUGUAGGAGUGUGAAGCCAAUGCAGAAGUUCUGCACAGUGACACCACGGUGA